Oncorhynchus kisutch (coho salmon) is the source of this 1728-nucleotide long non-coding RNA. RefSeq lists it as uncharacterized. The record is from RefSeq and is a predicted model, not a curated record. The transcript has 3 exons. NCBI's taxonomy places the organism in Eukaryota, Metazoa, Chordata, Actinopteri, Salmoniformes, Salmonidae.
UAGAACAGAAAACCAGCAGGCUCUGGACCUUAUAGGGUAAGAUUUGAAUACCGCUGGUUCACAUGACAGCUAAGGUGAGCUGUAGUAAGGUGUGUUCAGAGGUGUGGCCUGAAUGGUCUGAUCGCUCCAGAGGUGAGGUAUGUUUACAUGCUGAUGUGAUUCUGCCCAGAGGUAUUUGUCUGAUGUGACCAGGCCUCCAGGCAAGUGUCUGAGGGAGAGCUGGCUGGCGUAGAGAUGCCAUGUAUCCAACUCCAGCUACCUUCAAUUGAUGCUGGGUGACCUACAGAAAGCCUGUUGAUGCCGACAUUAUUGACCCUGACUAGUAGAGGUCACAGGGAAACCCAGUGUGGGUGCCACAGAGCUAACAGACUGCCAUCUUCAGCUCCAACAUGGGCUUAUUAGUGGACUCAUCAAUGUUUCCUUUAACUCUAUCAUAGGAAGAGAAGUGAAGCGAAGGAGGUGUUGGCUCAGUCAUAAAGUUUUCGCCUUUCCCACCCAGUGGAGUCCUCAGUGGUGAGGUAACCAACCCUCUUCCAGAGGACUGGGUUCAAACCUACAGCCCUGUGCUAAUGGGAUCGAGCACCGGUACCGCCUCUCGCCACUGUGGAUUAGCAGGUGCACCCGGAGGUUGUUGGGCUGCGCGAAUGACUUGCCGCAGUGUGGGCAGCUGAACGGCCGCUGUCCCGUGUGGACCCUCUGGUGCACCUCCAGGGACGCCUGGCUGUGGAAGAUGCGGCCGCAGAAGUUACAGCCCAUUGGCUCGUUCGUCGUCGUGGCUCCAUGCGGCUGCCUCUGAUUCGCUGGGGGUGCGGGAGGAGGAGGAGCUGUCAUGUCAAAGGGGGCGAAGACGCCCAUGUCGCUGCCGGGGAACUGUCUGGACUGGCUCUCUACGUCAGCCUGGGUUUGGUAGGAGCAAGAUGGAUGCCCGGCAGCCUCUGCGUUUGCGGCUGCUGCCUGGGCCAAGGAAAGCCCCAGAUGCCCCAGGACCCUCUCCUGCAUCAGAGCCAGAUCCAAACCGGGGCUAUUCAGUAGCUCUGUGCUGAGAUCUGGUCCUGUUGGCUGCUGGGGUCUCUGGUUCACACCCUCUGUCCCCAUCUCUGACUUGAGGUUAGCUUCGGAUCCACUGGUCCUAGUGGGCUCAGUGGGGUCCUCUGUGGCUGCAGUGGGCGAGCUGUGAGUGUCAGCCAUGUUAUGUCUCUCGCUGUCAUCGUCGUUGGGUUCUGGAACUACCAUCAAGGAUGAAAAAGGAGUAAUCAACACAAUGAUCAGACAUUCCUAAUCAUAUACAAUAGGUUGCCUUUAAACACAGCACAAGUCCUAAGAGUUGAUGUCUUCAGUUAAGGGCUAAGAGUUGAUGUCUUCAGCUAAGGGCUAAGAGUUGAUGUGUUCAGUUAAGGGCUAAGAGUUGAUGUCUUCAGUUAAGGGCUAAGAGUUGAUGUCUUCAGCUAAGGGCUAAGAGUUGAUGUCUUCAGUUAAGGGCUAAGAGUUGACAGGCCAGUUAAGGCCAGUAGUAGCCUGUGUGUUGGGUAUUUCAACAGUGAGUGGAUUGUAAAUAAAAAAGUGUUCUAAGUAAUCAAUAUCUGCACUGAAACUUACCAGUGGGUCUACUCUCUGAGCGGAUGUUUUGUUCUACCUUCAGGUCCACGCCACAGCUGUCCACUCUUUCCUGCUUGAUUAGGGACAAUGCAGUUCUGUCUUCCUGUAAAUAAAAUAGAAAAAUACAGAUUA